UCUUGGACAAUGGGGGCAACCCUGAUCCAGCGACGCCGCGUGGGUGACGAAGGCCUUCGGGUUGUAAAGCCCUUUUGCCGGGGACGAUGAUGACGGUACCCGGAGAAGAAGCACCGGCUAACUCCGUGCCAGCAGCCGCGGUAAGACGGAGGGUGCUAGCGUUGUUCGGAAUCACUGGGCGUAAAGGGCGCGUAGGCGGCGCCCGAAGUCGGCUGUGAAAGCCCGGGGCUCAACCCCGGAACGGCAGCCGAGACUCGGGCGCUGGAGACCGGGAGAGGAGGGUGGAAUACCCAGUGUAGAGGUGAAAUUCGUAGAUAUUGGGUGGAACACCGGUGGCGAAAGCGGCUCUCUGGCCCGGUUCUGACGCUGAGGCGCGAAAGCGUGGGGAGCAAAC
Molecule: ribosomal RNA, 394 nt
Filed under: uncultured bacterium
Lineage: Bacteria
Description: bacterial SSU rRNA
Rfam family: Bacterial small subunit ribosomal RNA
Source: RNAcentral